AGAGUUUGAUCCUGGCUCAGAUUGAACGCUGGCGGCAUGCCUUACACAUGCAAGUCGAACGGCAGCACGGGAGCAAUCCUGGUGGCGAGUGGCGAACGGGUGAGUAAUACAUCGGAACGUGUCCUGUAGUGGGGGAUAGCCCGGCGAAAGCCGGAUUAAUACCGCAUACGCUCUACGGAGGAAAGGGGGGGAUCUCAGGACCUCCCGCUACAGGGGCGGCCGAUGGCAGAUUAGCUAGUUGGUGGGGUAAAGGCCUACCAAGGCGACGAUCUGUAGCUGGUCUGAGAGGACGACCAGCCACACUGGGACUGAGACACGGCCCAGACUCCUACGGGAGGCAGCAGUGGGGAAUUUUGGACAAUGGGCGAAAGCCUGAUCCAGCAAUGCCGCGUGUGUGAAGAAGGCCUUCGGGUUGUAAAGCACUUUUGUCCGGAAAGAAAACCUCCGCCCUAAUAUGGUGGGGGGAUGACGGUACCGGAAGAAUAAGCACCGGCUAACUACGUGCCAGCAGCCGCGGUAAUACGUAGGGUGCAAGCGUUAAUCGGAAUUACUGGGCGUAAAGCGUGCGCAGGCGGUCCGCUAAGACAGAUGUGAAAUCCCCGGGCUUAACCUGGGAACUGCAUUUGUGACUGGCGGGCUAGAGUAUGGCAGAGGGGGGUAGAAUUCCACGUAGCAGUGAAAUGCGUAGAGAUGUGGAGGAAUACCGAUGGCGAAGGCAGCCCCCUGGGCCAAUACUGACGCUCAUGCACGAAAGCGUGGGGAGCAAACAGGAUUAGAUACCCCGGUAGUCC
This 791-nucleotide ribosomal RNA is filed under the name uncultured bacterium. RNAcentral's name for it is "bacterial SSU rRNA". It matches the Rfam family "Bacterial small subunit ribosomal RNA", at positions 8 to 796 of the family's 1533-position model. The record is from RNAcentral.